This 492-nucleotide ribosomal RNA is filed under the name uncultured bacterium. Its description in RNAcentral is "partial 16S ribosomal RNA". It matches the Rfam family "Bacterial small subunit ribosomal RNA", at positions 29 to 507 of the family's 1533-position model. The record is from RNAcentral.
AGUGAACGCUGGCGGUAGGCCUAACGCAUGCAAGUCGAACGGCAGCACAGUAAGAGCUUGCUCUUACGGGUGGCGAGUGGCGGACGGGUGAGGAAUACAUCGGAAUCUACUUUUUCGUGGGGGAUAACGUAGGGAAACAUACGCUAAUACCGCAUACGACCUACGGGUGAAAGCAGGGGAUCUUCGGACCUUGCGCGAUUGAAUGAGCCGAUGUCGGAUUAGCUAGUUGGCGGGGUAAAGGCCCACCAAGGCGACGAUCCGUAGCUGGUCUGAGAGGAUGAUCAGCCACACUGGAACUGAGACACGGUCCAGACUCCUACGGGAGGCAGCAGUGGGGAAUAUUGGACAAUGGGCGCAAGCCUGAUCCAGCCAUACCGCGUGUGUGAAGAAGGCCUUCGGGUUGUAAAGCCCUUUUGUUGGGAAAGAAAAGCAGCAGGUUAAUACCCCGCUGUUCUGACGGUACCCAAAGAAUAAGCACCGGCUAACUUCGUG